Megalobrama amblycephala (Wuchang bream) is the source of this 541-nucleotide non-coding RNA. Lineage: Eukaryota; Metazoa; Chordata; Actinopteri; Cypriniformes; Xenocyprididae. The record is from the annotation of a RefSeq genome assembly.
GACUUCUUCAGGUAAAUGAUCUGGAGUGUGUUUGCAUAUUGAUCAGAUGCUUCAGUGCUCUGAGAGUGUUUAUAGUGCUGUGAGUUUAACACUUCAUCACUGACACACACAACAAUCUUCAUCAACAUGACCUUCAUCAUCAUCUGGACGCUCUUAUACUGCUUUAUACUACAAGGCUGUAGAGCUCAGAUCACAGUGACUCAGACUGCAGUGAAAACUGUUAAACCAGGAGAAACUGUUGAGAUGAGCUGUAAACUCAGUAGAGCUGCUACAGACUGCAGCCCGAAUCCCUGUGUGGCCUGGUACUUACAGAAACCUGGAGAAGCUCCUAAACUCCUGAUUUAUAGAACAAGCAGCCUCCACACAGGAACUCCAUCUAGAUUCAGUGGCAGUGGAUCUAACAGUGAUUUCACUCUGACCAUCAGUGGAGUCCAGACUGAAGAUGCUGGACAUUAUUACUGUCAGAGUUAUCACUAUAUCAACAGUAAAUGGGUGUUCACACAGUGAUAAAGAGUCGUACAAAAACCUCAGUCAGUCAGAG